CUUAGCCCUCCCAGAAACUUACUGGGUCAUUUUGACUGCAAGUGACAGAAAACAAAGUUCAAGCUGCUUGACACAAGAGGAUCUACUGAGCCUUAUAACUUAAAAGUCCAAGGGUGGAUCUUGUUUCGGGCGUGGGUAGAUAAGGGAGCUCGGCCGUGUCAGCAGAUCUGAUUUCUGUCUCAGUGUGUUGGCUCCACCCUUCCUGAUUCUGGCUCCCUGUCUCAGCAAAACUCUCCUUGCUUUACAUUGGGCCUACCCCUAGGCCUGUCAGUGUGGGCUGGGAAUGCAGCACGCUCAUUGGCUUAGGCCUCAUUCCCAUCAUCCAACCCUGGCUCCAGGAGGAUGGGAUUAGUGUGACUCAAACACGUGGAAAGGAGUGGUUCUUCUGAGGAAAACCAGCUGAAGUAUUACAGAAAGAGGAAAUGCUGCAGAGACCCAGCCGGAAACAGUGCUGGCCAGCUCACGCCUGACCCACCCUUAUUCUAAGCAUAGGGUCUGCCUCUGAAGAGCUAAAGACUUCCUGAAAUUUAAAAAUUAGUGCUUUUAUUUGCUUGUCCUGCUAAGACCGUAGGCAAAGGCCAUCCUCCUCCCAUUGACAGUUUAGAGUGGAGCCCAGGAUCCUGGGCAAUUUGGCAAAACCCCAUCUCUACAAAAAAUAAAACAAGGGAAAUCGCUUGAACCCAGGAAGUGGACAUUCCAGCCUGGGCGACAGAGCGAGACUCCGUUUAAAAAACAAAACAAAACAAAACAAAACUGUUUAUAAUAUUAAUAAUAAAUAGUUCCUGAAUGUUCACUUGGAGUCAAAGAGCUGCUAACAACUAGGCCCACAUUCUCAUUGAAUUCUCACUACCACCUUAUGCAGCAGGUACUGUUUUAAUCCUGAGAGAAAACUGGGGCUCAAAGAGGUUAAGUAACUUGCUCACUGUCACAUAACAAGUAGAUGGUGCACUGGACACUUCAGUGCCUACUCACUCCUUUACAAGGGUUCUGAGCCAUGAUUUUUGUGUGGUAAAGAUGAGAGGCAGACAGCUGUUUAUAGAAUUGGAAAAUACUUCUAUCUUUCCUUGAUACCUGCACCCAUCCCCCUUUCAUCCACAUUGCAGUUUUUGCAAAGUCAGUCAGUUAGGAGGGAAACAUCCAUUUAAUUGAGGGGAAGGAGAGUAUUAGCCUCAUCCUUUUUUCUAAGUGGUGGGGGAAAAACCUCCACUGAGAGAGAGAAGAACAAGAAGAAAAAAUUUAACCAGCAAUUUUGUUCACUUGAAGGCAGAAACAACCACGGUUACCCUAGAAGUAAAUCCAGAGCUGCGGGACGCUGGAGGACAAAACCAACCUUCCAGGGAAGCCGAGGAGAAGUCAUGCCUUCAAAAGGUGUCUGCCUUUUUUUUUUUCACCCUCUCUCCUCUAACCUGUUUGUAACUGGGAAAUGAAAUAGUUUUGGUUUGCAAGCUGUCGCCAGGGAGUGGAGCAAGACUUUGUAAUAAACAAGAGCAACUGCCAGAGCCCCCAGCGAGCCUCUCCAAGGCCAGACUGCCAAGAAAAGCUGGCAGUGUGACAGCAAGUUUCAUUCAGCGUGGCCGGUGGUCACUGAGGAGCGACCAUGAGGAGGAUGGCCAGAGGGGGUACCCCCCAGUCUCACCUUGGGGAAGAGUACAGCCUCCUAUUAGUGAGCUGUGUGGGCUAUUAAAAUUCCCCCAGGCUGAGUGUUUCAGGAAACACCAUAAAUAAAUAAAAUUGUCUGUGUG
Molecule: long non-coding RNA, 1742 nt
Filed under: Homo sapiens (human)
Lineage: Eukaryota; Metazoa; Chordata; Mammalia; Primates; Hominidae
Description: non-protein coding LINC01504:1
Source: RNAcentral